RNAcentral lists this long non-coding RNA (1686 nucleotides) under Homo sapiens (human). Its description in RNAcentral is "non-protein coding lnc-THAP3-2:2". The record is from RNAcentral. Lineage: Eukaryota; Metazoa; Chordata; Mammalia; Primates; Hominidae.
GGCGCCCACCACCAUGUCCGGUUAAUAUUUUGUAUUUUUAGUAGAGAUGGGGUUUCACCAUGUUGGCCAGACUGGUCUCGAAUUCCUGCCCCCAGGUGAUCCACCUGCCUCAGCCUCCCAAAGUGCUGGGAUUAUAGGCACGAGCCACUGUGCCCAGCCAACAGGUCGAUAUUUUUGAUUUAAGAUGGCUUAUUCGGCCGUAACUCCAUCGUAAAUGGCUCACUGCAGCCUCGACCUCCUGGCCUCAAGCGAUCCUCCCACCUCAGCAUCCCAAGUAGCUGGGAUUACAGGUGUGUGCUACCACACCUGGUUAAUUUUUAUAUUUUUUGUAGAGUCAAGGUUUUGCCAUGUUGCCUAGGCUGGUCUCAAACUCCUGAGCUCAAGUGAUCGUCUCACCUGGCCUCCUAAAGUGCUGGGAUUACAAGCAUGAGCCACCACACCCUGCCCCCGAGGCGGCUUUUAACCAGCAUCUGGGGUGACCAAUCUAAGUAGACAGGGUCAGGACAACACUGAUGUGUAUACAGAUGCUGUUUCCCUGCUGUUCUCUUCUAAGUAUGAAUCCCGGUCCCCUUUGCAGACCCAGUAGGUGAAUCCAAUUACGUAGAGCAGGGGACUGUGGAGCUGUGUUGUGAGCAGCACCCAGGUGAUGCCCCAUGGCAGCAUGUCCCACAUUCCUUCCAUCUUUUAAAAAAAAUUUUUCUCGGUGGCAGUCUUGCUCUGUCGCCUAGGCUGGGGUACAGUGGUGCAAUCUCAGCUCAUUGCAGCCUCAACCUCCCGGGUUCAAGCAAUCCUCCCACCUUGGCCUCCCAAAGCCCUGGGAUUGCAGGUGUGAGUCACAUCGGCUCCUUUUCCUCUUCUUGUGUCUGGAAGCACUGCUUUUUUUUUUUUGAGACAGAGUCGCCCAGGCUGGAGUGCAGUGGCGCGAUCUCGGCUCACUGCAAGCUCCGCCUCCUGGGUUCACGCCAUUCUCCUGCCUCAGCCUCCCGAGUAGCUGGGACUAAAGGCGCCCGCCACCGCUCCCGGCUAAUUCUUUGCAUUUUUAGUAGAGACAGAGUUUCACCGUGUUAGCCAGGAUGGUCUCGAUCUCCUGAUCUCGUGAUCCACCCGCCUCGGCCUCCUAAAGUGCUGGGAUUAGAGGCAUGAGCCACCGUGCUCAGCCAGGAAGCACUGCUUUGGUGCCUAAGCGGCCUCCGCCUGCCCCACAGGCCACGUCCUCCUGUUUCGCAGGCUCUCUCCCAACUUCUCCUGCUCUCCCUACAACAGGCUGACCUGCAAGCCUGCCUGUGUUCUCUGCCCCAUGCCCCACAGACAAACGACCAGACUAGUGGGCAGGGAUUAGGUCAACCCCUGCAGAGCGUGGCAGGCACACAGAUACAUGUCUCAUUGGAAGUGUAAUAACUAACUUUUUUUUUUUUUUUGAGACAGUCUUGCUCUGCUGCUUAGGCUGGAGUACAGUGGUGUGAUCUUGGAUCAUUGCAACCUCCGCCUCCUGGGUUCAAGAGAUCCUCCCACCUCAGCCUCCCAAGUAGCUGGGACUACAGGCAAGCGCCACCAUGCCUGGUUAAUUUUUAUAUUUUUAGUAGAGGGGGUUUCGCCAUGUUGGCCAGGCUGGUCUCGAACUCCUGUACAUGUUUGUACAUGUUUGUACAGCCUACAAUACAUGUUUGAUAAGAAAGUUAUUCAUGC